ACCCAUUUUGCUCAGUGGUUAGAGCAUCAGUCUGCAGACUGAAGGGUCUCAGGUUCGAUUCCAGUUAAGGGCA
Molecule: transfer RNA, 73 nt
Filed under: Myotis brandtii (Brandt's bat)
Lineage: Eukaryota; Metazoa; Chordata; Mammalia; Chiroptera; Vespertilionidae
Rfam family: tRNA
About the family: Transfer RNA (tRNA) molecules are approximately 80 nucleotides in length. Their secondary structure includes four short double-helical elements and three loops (D, anti-codon, and T loops). Further hydrogen bonds mediate the characteristic L-shaped molecular structure. tRNAs have two regions of fundamental functional importance: the anti-codon, which is responsible for specific mRNA codon recognition, and the 3' end, to which the tRNAs corresponding amino acid is attached (by aminoacyl-tRNA synthetases). tRNAs cope with the degeneracy of the genetic code in two manners: having more than one tRNA (with a specific anti-codon) for a particular amino acid; and 'wobble' base-pairing, i.e. permitting non-standard base-pairing at the 3rd anti-codon position.
Source: Rfam by way of RNAcentral